CUUUACUGGAGCGACCUGUUCAACAGCACCUCAACAUGCCUUCACUCAUCUGCUCUCUGUUUACGUGUUUUCUUUGGCAAAAAGUAUGGCUGCUGCUCUUUAAUUGCUGUAUAAAUCGCUUGUAGUUAAAAGAGACUUACCUCCUACGUAUGAAUGAGGAGGGAGCGGUCCGGCUCAUGUAUAUAAAUACCGACUUCAAGACAGCAAAAGGAACUGUAUCUUUACAGGACAUUCCUCCAGACCUUAGGAAAGCACCCUGAACCAGCCUUCAUAACCACAGACACUAUGGCAGACUCAAUGACGGGGUGCACCUCCUGUGGACUUCACGGCAUUUUCCUGACUUCUUUUACAAGAGAAAAGGUCCAUGCUGCAACCAUCCCUGUGUUACUUUCGUCCCGGCUCUCCCUUAAUUGUUGAAUUUGAUGGCUCUUUUUUUCAUUUUAAUUUGGAGGUGGUAUUGGGCCAAUUCUGCUUGGCAGGCAUUAUAUGUAGUUUUUCUGUGAAGGUGUAAUAUACUUUUAUAGAAAUCCACAUGAAGUGUUUCCAUUGGAUGUUUGUCCCAAUUUGUGAAA
Long non-coding RNA from Siniperca chuatsi (mandarin fish), 572 nucleotides. RefSeq lists it as uncharacterized. The transcript is spliced from 3 exons. The record is from RefSeq and is a predicted model, not a curated record. Lineage: Eukaryota; Metazoa; Chordata; Actinopteri; Centrarchiformes; Sinipercidae.